GACGAGCGCUGGCGGCGUGCUUAACACAUGCAAGUCGAGCGGUAAGGCCCUUUCGGGGGUACACGAGCGGCGAACGGGUGAGUAACACGUGGGUGACCUGCCCUCAGCUCUGGGAUAAGCCUGGGAAACCGGGUCUAAUACCGGAUAUGACUCCAUGACGCAUGUUGUGGGGUGGAAAGCCUUGUGCGGCUGAGGAUGGGCCCGCGGCCUAUCAGCUUGUUGGUGGGGNGAUGGCCUACCAAGGCGACGACGGGUAGCCGGCCUGAGAGGGCGACCGGCCACACUGGGACUGAGACACGGCCCAGACUCCUACGGGAGGCAGCAGUGGGGAAUCUUGGGCAAGUGGGCGAAAGCCUGACCCAGCGACGCCGCGUGAGGGAUGAAGGCCU
RNAcentral lists this ribosomal RNA (389 nucleotides) under uncultured bacterium. Its description in RNAcentral is "bacterial SSU rRNA". It matches the Rfam family "Bacterial small subunit ribosomal RNA", at positions 28 to 417 of the family's 1533-position model. The record is from RNAcentral.